RNAcentral lists this transfer RNA (76 nucleotides) under Myxococcales bacterium. RNAcentral describes it as "tRNA-Arg". It matches the Rfam family "tRNA". From Rfam's summary of the family: Transfer RNA (tRNA) molecules are approximately 80 nucleotides in length. Their secondary structure includes four short double-helical elements and three loops (D, anti-codon, and T loops). Further hydrogen bonds mediate the characteristic L-shaped molecular structure. tRNAs have two regions of fundamental functional importance: the anti-codon, which is responsible for specific mRNA codon recognition, and the 3' end, to which the tRNAs corresponding amino acid is attached (by aminoacyl-tRNA synthetases). tRNAs cope with the degeneracy of the genetic code in two manners: having more than one tRNA (with a specific anti-codon) for a particular amino acid; and 'wobble' base-pairing, i.e. permitting non-standard base-pairing at the 3rd anti-codon position. Lineage: Bacteria; Pseudomonadati; Myxococcota; Myxococcia; Myxococcales. The record is from RNAcentral.
GCCCCCGUAGCUCAGAGGAUAGAGCGCCGGUUUCCUAAACCGGGCGUCGGAAGUUCGAGUCUUCCCGGGGGCGCCA